This is a small nuclear RNA of Sceloporus undulatus (fence lizard), 143 nucleotides long. RefSeq annotates it as U4 spliceosomal RNA. The transcript has a single exon. Lineage: Eukaryota; Metazoa; Chordata; Lepidosauria; Squamata; Phrynosomatidae. The record is from RefSeq and is a predicted model, not a curated record.
AGCUUUGUGCAGUGGCAGUAUCAUAGCCAAUGAGGUUAAUCCGAGGCACGAUUAUUGCUAAUUGAAAACUUAGCACAUGUGUAGACACUUGUCUUUCCUUCGUAGAUAUGCAGAGGCUUGGUAUUUGAGCAGUUAUUUGGAUG